GUGCUCACUUCUGCAGCACAUAUACUAAAAUUGGAAUGCACAGAACAUGAGCAAGGCCCCUGCACAAGGAUGACAUGCAAAUUCGUAAAGUGUUCCAUAUUUUA
Small nuclear RNA from Oryctolagus cuniculus (rabbit), 104 nucleotides. The record is from Ensembl. NCBI's taxonomy places the organism in Eukaryota, Metazoa, Chordata, Mammalia, Lagomorpha, Leporidae.